UGGGGAAUAUUGCACAAUGGGCGGAAGCCUGAUGCAGCGACGCCGCGUGAGGGAUGACGGCCUUCGGGUUGUAAACCUCUUUCAGCAGGGACGAAGCGUGAGUGACGGUACCUGCAGAAGAAGCGCCGGCCAACUACGUGCCAGCAGCCGCGGUAAGACGUAGGGCGCGAGCGUUGUCCGGAUUUAUUGGGCGUAAAGAGCUCGUAGGCGGUUUGUCGCGUCGAAUGUGAAAUCUCAGGGCUCAACUCUGACAUUGCAUUCGAUACGGGCAGGCUAGAGUUCGGUAGGGGAGACUGGAAUUCCUGGUGUAGCGGUGAAAUGCGCAGAUAUCAGGAGGAACACCGGUGGCGAAGGCGGGUCUCUGGGCCGAUACUGACGCUGAGGAGCGAAAGCGUGGGGAGCGAACAGGAUUAGAUACCCCGGUAGUCC
Molecule: ribosomal RNA, 429 nt
Filed under: uncultured bacterium
Lineage: Bacteria
Description: bacterial SSU rRNA
Rfam family: Bacterial small subunit ribosomal RNA
Source: RNAcentral